CUAAGUAUGAAAGAGAUGCUAAGAAGUAUUGGGAUCAGUUCUACAGGCGGCAUCAAGAUAAAUUUUUUAAAGAUCGACACUACCUGGACAAGGAAUGGGAUCAAUACUUCUCUAGAAGCGGAAGAAAAGUUAUUUUAGAGGUUGGUUGUGG
This is a long non-coding RNA of Hibiscus syriacus, 151 nucleotides long. RefSeq lists it as uncharacterized. NCBI's taxonomy places the organism in Eukaryota, Viridiplantae, Streptophyta, Magnoliopsida, Malvales, Malvaceae. The transcript is spliced from 4 exons. The record is from RefSeq and is a predicted model, not a curated record.